Molecule: RNA transcript, 2920 nt
Organism: Melospiza melodia melodia
Lineage: Eukaryota; Metazoa; Chordata; Aves; Passeriformes; Passerellidae
Gene name: transducin-like enhancer protein 1
Exons: 21
Source: RefSeq, a predicted model, not a curated record
CCGCCUCAGGGGUGCGCGCCUGGGGCCGGGGCCGGGUCUGGGACCCUCAGCGCGGGCCUGAUCCGGAGCUGGGAGCGGUGUCCCGGGCCUGUCCCGCGCCUGCGGCGGGGCCCGCGCGGCCGGAGGGUGCCGGGCCUGUCCGGUGCCGAGGAUGUUCCCGCAGAACAGGCCCCCGGCCCAUCUCCAGGCACCCUCUGCUGCCUCAGGAGCCGCUGUUGCUGCCAGUGCCAUCCCCAGCACCCCCCAGUCCCUCAAGCUGACUUACCCAGAGACCUUGGAUCGCAUCAAGGAGGAAUUCCAGUUCCUGCAGAACCAAUACCACAGCUUGAAGUUAGAAUGUGAAAAGCUGGCAACAGAAAAAACAGAAAUCCAGCGUCAUUAUGUCAUGUACUACGAGAUGUCCUAUGGCCUCAACAUCGAGAUGCACAAACAGACGGAGAUCGCCAAGCGGCUCAACGUGAUCUGCGCCCAGCUCAUCCCGUUCCUGUCUCAGGAGCACCAGCAGCAGGUGGUGCAGGCUGUGGAGCGAGCGAAGCAGGUGACUAUGACCGACCUGAACGCGGCCAUCGGGCACCAGCUGCAGACCCAGCACCUCUCCCACCACGCUCCCCCCAUCCCGCUGACCCCACACCCCUCUGGGAUGCAGCCUGCUGGCCUGGCUGGCAUCAGCAGUGCCUCGGGGCUGCUGGCACUCUCGGGGGCACUGGGGGCCCAGGCCCAGCUCCUCGCCAAGGAUGACAGAGGAGUCCAUGACACAGAGCCCAGGGCGUCAGACCGAGACCCCGGCCCCAGCUCCCUGGCGCUGUCGAACGGGGAGCGCGCGCGAGCCAUCGCCGAGUACCUGAGCAGCAGCAGCAAGAAGAGGAAAGUGGAGGAGAAGGAUUUUGUUACAGAUUAUGGCAGCGAUGCUGACAAAAGUGAGGACAACCUGGUGGUGGAUGAGGACCCCUCUUCCCCGCACAGCGUGCACUCCUACUCGUCCCGGGAGAACGGGGUGGAGAAGGCCCCGCUGGGCAGGAAGGAGGCCGUGCCCCUCAGCCCCACCUCCAUGGCCUCCUCCAGCAGCACGUCCCCAUCUCGGAGCAAGGAGGCACCCACGGUGGAGAAGGCAGGAACCCCCAGCCUGAAGUCCAGCACGCCAACCUCUCAGGGUGACACCCUGCCAGGCUCCAGCAGUGCCCAGUUUCGCCCCACGGCUGCCAAAGUCCCCGUGGACCCUCUGGCAGCCCUGGGCCUGAGGAAUCCUCUGGGAGUGCAGAGCCCCUACUCUGCUGCCUUUGGCUUGGCCCACCCUGCUGUCAACGGGGACGUGGCCGGGAGCGGCGCCUACGCCAGCCUGCACCUCAUGUCCCCGCAGCUCAACGGCACCGCGGCCGCCGGGGGCUACGGGCGCUCGCCCCUGGUGGGCUACGACCCGCACCCCCACAUGCGCGUCCCGGGGCUGGUGGCCGGAAUGCAAGUGGGGAGCUCGGGCAAGCCUGCCUACUCCUUCCACGUCAGUGCAGACGGGCAGAUGCAGCCGGUGCCUUUCCCCCCCGACGCCCUGCUGGGCUCCGGCAUCCCCCGGCACGCGCGGCAGCUGCACACGCUGAGCCACGGCGAGGUGGUCUGUGCUGUCACCAUCAGCAACUCCACCAGACACGUCUACACCGGGGGCAAGGGCUGCGUCAAGGUCUGGGACGUGGGGCAGCCGGGCACCAAGACGGCCGUGGCUCAGCUCGACUGCCUGAACCGUGACAACUACAUCCGCUCCUGCAAGCUGCUCCCCGACGGGCGCAGCCUGAUCGUGGGGGGGGAGGCCAGCACCCUGUCCAUCUGGGACCUGGCAGCCCCCACGCCCCGCAUCAAGGCUGAGCUCACCUCCUCUGCCCCCGCCUGCUACGCCCUGGCCAUCAGCCCUGACGCCAAAGUCUGCUUCUCCUGCUGCAGCGACGGCAACAUCGUGGUGUGGGACCUGCAGAACCAGACCCUGGUCAGUUUCAAGGCCACACAGACGGUGCCAGCUGCAUUGACAUCUCCAACGAUGGCACCAAGCUGUGGACAGGGGGGCUGGACAACACCGUGCGCUGCUGGGACCUGCGGGAGGGCCGGCAGCUGCAGCAGCACGACUUCAGCUCCCAGAUCUUCUCCCUGGGCUACUGCCCCAUGGGAGAGUGGCUGGCCGUGGGCAUGGAGAGCAGCAACGUGGAGAUCCUGCACGUCACCAAACCCGACAAGUACCAGCUGCACCUCCACGAGAGCUGUGUCCUCUCUCUCAAAUUCGCCUCCUGUGGGAAGUGGUUUGUGAGCACGGGCAAGGACAACCUGCUCAACGCCUGGAGGACGCCCUACGGCGCCAGCAUCUUCCAGUCCAAGGAAACCUCCUCAGUCCUCAGCUGUGACAUCUCCACGGACGACCAGUUCAUCGUGACGGGCUCAGGGGACAAGAAAGCCACAGUUUAUGAGAUCAUUUACUGAGCCCCAGAGGUGCCAACUGCAGGACAGGCAGCUGUCCAUGGGGAUGGACAGGUGGACUCUACCUGCCCUGCUGCUGACUUCCCAAAGAACGUGCAGCCAUGGCUGUGGCAUCCCAGCUGGAGGAGAGAGGAGAGGGGUGGAGGUGGCCCUGGCACCGUGGCCAGGCAUGGUGCAGGCUGCUGCUCGGGGUGGAUUUCCUGGGGACUUUCUCCUUGUCUUGUUCUUUGUGGGUUUCUUUCUAAAUCUAGACUGUGGGAGUUGGAGAUGAGGGGGGGAGGUCUGGCAUUGUUAGGGAGUUUUGUUUGGGUGCUUUUUUUUUUUAUUUUUGGUUUUUAAACUUUUUGUUGUGGGGUUUUUAUUUGUUUAAGGCUCUGGGCUUGCCAGGGUGGAUGGGCUCUGGGUUUCCUUCCCUCUGUGCCUCCCAGGGUGUAUUUAAUAAUAAAAACAAACAAACAAAAAAAAA